Molecule: long non-coding RNA, 4689 nt
Organism: Epinephelus moara (kelp grouper)
Lineage: Eukaryota; Metazoa; Chordata; Actinopteri; Perciformes; Serranidae
Exons: 2
Source: RefSeq, a predicted model, not a curated record
UCAAAGUUUGCAAUUUCAAUCAGUUGCUAUAGCGACCCCCUUUGGCCAAUUGAUGUAAUAUUGCUUCAUUCGCAUCCUCCCAUGACCCUCUACCACUGUGCCAAAUUUCACAUGGAUUGACCAAGUCAGUGAGGAGAAAAACGUGGAACAGACACACAGACAGAGUUUUCGUCAUUAUAUAGUAAAGAUUCCAUUACUUGUAUCAUAUCGUAAUGCAUGUUUUAUGCAGUGUUUGUUUUUCCAGUGCCAACCAGAAGGAGUUGCCCGUCUGCCUGAUUCCACGUGAACGCAGCAUUCGACUAGUUCUUUUUAAUGAGCUCUGUGAGUAGCUUGAUUGGAUGUUCCAGUAUUGCUGUUUACCUUGACCUGCAGAUGGUGGCUCAGCAGUGUGACAUGUCUGUAGUUUUUACAAUCAAAUGGUAUCGAAGCUGUCAGAUAUUUGUCUGACUUACAAUUACAACUACCAGACUAAUGCUAAUAUUAACACACUCAGCUGCUGUUUUACUGUCCAGUACUCUCUUACCUUAAAAUAUCUGGGACAUGAUUGAGAUUUUCAGAGGUACUGACAAAAAAAAACCCUUUAAGAGAAAUUACAUUGAGUUACAGAAGCUAGCAGAACAGAAGCUAGCUAGGACACGAGGUUCAGGUCCAGCUGUCACGACAUUAAACGUCACAACAUCUCGAUAGCUGAGUAACGAUAAGUGGUACAAGCUGAUGGUUCAUGUUUCCUUUGUCUUGUUUUUUCUUUAUAUUGCUCUACAAUCCAAGAUGCAAGCGUAUCACACUGUAAUACAGCAGUGAAGUCUAUAAUAAGAAAUUCUAAAUGCAAGUUUCAGAGAUUCAGAAGCUGCUUUCAGGCAGUCUGAGAAAAAUGCGACUUUGAUCUGAAUUUGACAGCAUCUCAUCCUUACAGAAACAGGAAGUCAUCUAUUCCCUCAGGCCGAGCAUCACUGGACUGAAUUCCUUUUCAUCUGCAGCGCAAACAUUUCUGCUUAUACUUAAUGGUGUAAAACAGAAUUAUGAAGAAAGCCAUUUUCAACAUAAAUUUAUGUCUGUAAAUGUGGUUUAUCCAUGUCGAUAUACAAAACAAGGCCAUAGCCACAUCUUUGGUGACCCGACACACGUCACACAUUCUCAGUAUUGCUUUCUGUAAAUAUUUCAUAGGACUGAUUUAAAUUUGACUAUUUACUACCAAAAGAUCUUCAUGCUAGAUCUUCAUGUUGGCAAAUACAGACAGUAUCACUGAACAAUUAACUAAAAAUAAUAUUAAAUUAUUAAAAUUUUAAACUUUAUUUCUGAUGUCUGGUCAAAAAUAUCCUCAAUACAACAAUAAAGCUACACAAAUUAAAAGUUAAAUUCAAAAUUCGAACUAAUUUUGGGGAAAAUAUAAUAACUGUUUAAGAGAUUUUAUUUUUCCUCAUAAAAAAACCUACAAAAAUCAGACCUUAAACAUUUUAUAAGUUGUCAAAAAUGAGCACAUCAUUCAGCAUAAUCGUGAUGUGUGUCAUCUUCAUAUAUUUGUUUUUUAACAUUAUCAUUUUUUGUAAGUUCAAGCAUGAGUUCAAAUAUUUCAUUUUGGAGAUAAAAACCUUGGUUUGUCAGGACCAGACAAACAUGUCGCGCCCUGCUAUAUCUCAUGCCGCGUCUAUACAUCUCGUGAUGUCACCCGAUCAUAUCACCGAUGAUCCAUACACAAACUGGAACACUGAAGAGCGAUACUGGAUUUUAUCUCCCCUAAAUGUCACGAGACAGCUGUCCACUGUUUUAUCUCACUCUGUUUCCUGAUUCACCCAGUUUCCACAUUUCGCUGACAUUUUCAUCAUCUUCACGGCGCUAUCGUUCUGAUGGCACAUGAGUAAUCACAUGUGUGAAAUUGGUUUCCAGAGAGUUUUGAUGCCUUUCUUUGUCUCUGAGCAUAAAAACAGACGAUGUGCGAAUAAGAACCACUGAAGGAAAAGAGAGACUCUGGUUUAAAAUAAAACACACCCUGGAGCUUUUUGUCAGGCGUUAAUGAAGCUUUUUAUUCCACAGAAAAUAGUCUGAACUGUCUGUCUGUAUUUUUAAGAAUGAAAAUUUGAAUUCAGGCCUUUUUUGCUUUCCUUCGUAAGUCAGAACCACUGUCAUCACCGAGAUGCCAACAGCUGUUCCAGAAACCAUCAUGUGGCUAAAAGUCAAAUAUUCAACCUCUUAAAACGGACAGAUGAGUCUGUUUAAAGCUGCUGUGGAGCAGCACUGGCCACAUUCACUCAGCAUAAACUUCAAUUUCCUUCAGCGUAUUUUAAUUUGAUCGUUUUCAGCCGAUCCUCACGCUGAGCCCUGGCAGAGUUCAGUCUGGGUCAUGCCUCCUUUCUUGUUUGCAGUGUUAUCAGCCGAGUGAACCGGUGCCCACCCCAGAUUAAGCCGCGCUCCUCGCUUUCUUCAGCUUAUGAUGGCGAGGCCAGACUGCAGAGAGCGAGUAUUUGAUCUGUGUUUCGGAGCGGCUGGAGGCCUGGAGAAUGGGCGUCAGCGGGUUGGCUCAUUAGCCAAUCUUCACUGAGCGGCGGCUAACCUCGAGCUACAUGUACACUGCAAAAAGUAUUCAUCUUUGCGCGUCAUUAAAACAUUUGUCCUGGGUCAAAUUUGCAGAUGUUUUUUUAAACAAUAAUAUAAUCUGCAUCAGAGUGAGACUGCUGAAGUCACAUUUAAAAGAAAUCCUUUCUGUCCAUUUCAUUAUCAUCACAACAACUAUCAAAGGAUGAAAGUUAGCAGGAUUAGCAGCAUCCCCAUCAAUCACACAUUCGAUGUGCCAACUUAACUCUGUUAUCAGGGUUUUGACGAGCUUUUUCACUCUGCAGCUCUCCCUUUGUCAUGUCACCAGCGCUGAUGGCUAACUGAGGACGCUUUAAAGUCGAGCAUCUUUUCCACAGAAAGGCAAAGAUUUCGUGAUUUUGUGCCGUUUCACAGCAGGUCAUUUAAGAAAAGAGCUUCUUCUGCUUCUUCAUACAAAGAGCCAUCUCUCUUAGAGAUGACUUUUCUCUUGGAUUAUUGGAAUAAGAAGCCCAUAAAGCCGAGAGCGAGCUAUUGACCGGGCUUCUUUCUGUCUCAUGCCUCAGCUGAAAGGAGAAAGAAAAGGGGUUUUUCUUAUUUUUCUUUUGAAGAACGUUACCUAAAGGGCUGCAGGAGGAGAGGAUGAAGUCUGUGUAAUGCAUUGCAGCUUUACCUGAGCUAUGAUUAUAGACACCGUGGCUUGUUGUUGGAUCAGUGAGGCUUCUUUUUGUGCUCUGACAGAGAAGUGAUUUUAUCUGUGAUUAAAUAUUAAAAUCACCUGUGUUGUUUGAAGCUGGGUUAAAUAUUUCACUCGUCUCUAACGCGACUACAAGUCAGCUGUUUAACGCUGGUGGGUGUGAUUGAACCUGAUCCACUGUUGCGCAGUUUCUCCACACCGAACAGCAACAGGCUUUCCUUGAUUUCCUAGUUUUCGUACAUUGCUAUCAACAGUGUUGCAGGACUUCUUUUUUGCAGGAGAGCAGCCGCUAUCUUGGAGUUUGAUCCUUCUCUAAAAGUCUGAUUUAUUAAUUAGAAUAAUGCAAGUGGUGUGUAUUUUAGCUUUUCACCCAUUGGAUGGAGAGUUGCUCUUGCCUGUUUGUCAUUUGAGUUUUAGUGAGCGAUUUGAUUUGCUGUGCUGGCUGCUGAGAUUCAUCACAGGACGUUGAGUGCUUUGUAUUUGUGAGAUAUUCAUUUCAUCUGCAGUGAGUGUUAAAUCUUUAAAAAAAUAUAUUUUGUGUUUGAGCUGUUUUUUGAACUCUGUGUGUGUGUGUGUGUGUGUGUGUGUGUGUGUGUGUGUGUGUGUGUGUGUGUGUGUGUGUGUGUGUGUGUGUGCGCCUAGUGGUAUUUAUACUUCUGAAUGAGGUGUUUUUACCUGCCAGGUGUACCAGGUGAAUGUGCACCAGAGCUGUAAAGACUUUUUGGAGUUAGAAAAGGUAAAUCAUGCACAUCCUGUACUCCAUGGUGGCUAAAACAAAUGCUAACCAAUAUAUUUGCAGUGUUGUUUGAUUCAGGUGUAGUAUGUUCCUUUUUUUAUUUUCUUUGUUUGGUGUCACAGAAACAUGUCAAGUGACCUUUCGAAAAUGAAUGGUGUCAUUUCAGUGGAGAACAAAGAGCAGAAAAAGGACUCUAAACUAACAAAUCUGUCACUUCUGAUGUCAUUCUAUCAUAUUUUCCACAUGUACCAACCAAGUGUAAAUACAGCGAGCUGUUUGAUAGGAGGGGAUGUUUUUGUACUCUUCACUCUGUCACUUGACAAACAUAAAGGUACCAGUUGUGGAUCCUUGACACCGUCACUGGUUACAGAUUUUAAAAAGUUUGGAAACAACUCAGUGUUUAGUUCAAAUUCUGUAAGUCUGAGAUUUGUGAGACUGAGAAUUUUAUUGUCAUUUUUGUGCAGACUUACAAGAUGUUCUAGUUUUUCUUUGUUGUUUUGUUCAUUUGCUUUUUUUCUGUUUGUGCCGUGAUGUACGCAAAGGGGAUCCUCACACAUUCUAUGCAAACAAAUGGAUAUAGAACGCAUUGUAAUGAUGCAAUGAAUUGUAAACGUUGUAAAAAUUGUGAAUGAAAGUAAACGCUCUUAAAUUUAUUAUACUUUAUGUAUACAGUUUGUAUUUAUGAACUGAGUUGCAAUCUAAACUGUAUCAAUAAACUUAUUUUAAAAAC